UACGGAAGGUCCUGGCGUUAUCCGGAUUUAUUGGGUUUAAAGGGAGCGUAGGCCGUGGAUUAAGCGUGUUGUGAAAUGCAGGUGCUCAACGUCUGCACUGCAGCGCGAACUGGUCCACUUGAGUGUGCGCAACGCAGGCGGAAUUCGUCGUGUAGCGGUGAAAUGCUUAGAUAUGACGAAGAACUCCGAUUGCGAAGGCAGCUUGCGGGAGCACAACUGACGCUGAAGCUCGAAAGUGCGGGUAUCGAACAGG
Molecule: ribosomal RNA, 253 nt
Filed under: uncultured bacterium
Lineage: Bacteria
Description: partial 16S ribosomal RNA
Rfam family: Bacterial small subunit ribosomal RNA
Source: RNAcentral